This 202-nucleotide ribosomal RNA is filed under the name Sogdini gen. sp. ANIC B. RNAcentral describes it as "partial 28S ribosomal RNA". The record is from RNAcentral. Lineage: Eukaryota; Metazoa; Arthropoda; Insecta; Coleoptera; Leiodidae.
GGACCAAGGAGUCUAGCAUAAUGCGCGAGUCUAUAGGCACUAUGCGAAAAUCGAUCGCAGGCGAAAUGAAAGCGAACGAUCAUUAUGUUUUGCGCGUCUGGGGAGAAUCGAGUAGUAUACUGUAUGGUCNUCAGCAAUCCCGGGGCGUCGUUACGUCUCGUUGAGAUACGACAUGCACCUAGAGCGUUAUACGCUGGGACCC